Molecule: ribosomal RNA, 26 nt
Filed under: Umbilicaria yunnana
Lineage: Eukaryota; Fungi; Ascomycota; Lecanoromycetes; Umbilicariales; Umbilicariaceae
Description: partial 28S ribosomal RNA
Source: RNAcentral
UGAACCUCGGAUCAGGUAGGGAUACC